GUAGGUGAACCUGCGGAGGGAUCAUUAACAUAUGAAACGAGUGGAGAGCAGAGGCAGGAGAGAGAGAGCGAAAGAGGCAGCAAUGUCGCUUCUCGCUGUCUCCCUUCUUCUCUGCUUUUCAUGACUUCACACCUGCGAACUUCUCCCCCACCCACCCACACCGAAGCUAUGACCUUGUGUCAUGUUUCGACCCAUUCUUUCACCCCUUUCUUUUUUCUCUUCUCACACUGAUCGUGGUUGUCCUUGUGACUUCUGCUCUCAUGUCUUCUAAUCUAUAUAUCACUCCUAGCAAUGGAUAUCUUGGUUCUC
Molecule: unclassified non-coding RNA, 309 nt
Filed under: rhizosphere metagenome
Description: partial ribosomal RNA internal transcribed spacer region
Source: RNAcentral